RNAcentral lists this small nuclear RNA (184 nucleotides) under Zea mays. RNAcentral's name for it is "U2 spliceosomal RNA". It matches the Rfam family "U2 spliceosomal RNA". Rfam says of the family: U2 is a small nuclear RNA (snRNA) component of the spliceosome (involved in pre-mRNA splicing). Complementary binding between U2 snRNA (in an area lying towards the 5' end but 3' to hairpin I) and the branchpoint sequence (BPS) of the intron results the bulging out of an unpaired adenosine, on the BPS, which initiates a nucleophilic attack at the intronic 5' splice site, thus starting the first of two transesterification reactions that mediate splicing. The record is from Rfam by way of RNAcentral. Lineage: Eukaryota; Viridiplantae; Streptophyta; Magnoliopsida; Poales; Poaceae.
GAACUUUCUCGGCCUUUUGGCUAAGAUAAAGUGCAUUAUCUACUUUUGUAUGUGGGCCAUGUCCACUUUAAUUUUAAAUUUAUUUUUAUAGGGAGGGUCCACUUUAAUUUAUAAUUUAUUUUUUAUGGAGAGGGCCCUCGCGUGUCGUAUAGCCAUUGCACUAUACAUUAAAUAUGUAGUGUUA